UACGUAGGUGGCAAGCGUUGUCCGGAUUUACUGGGCGUAAAGAGCGCGCAGGCGGUCGUGCAAGUCGCGUGUGAAAGCCCCCGGCUCAACUGGGGAGGGUCACGCGAUACUGUUCGACUCGAAGGCAGGAGAGGGUAGUGGAAUUCCCGGUGUAGUGGUGAAAUGCGUAGAUAUCAGGAGGAACACCGGUGGCGAAGGCGGUUCUCUGGGCAUUUCCUGACGCUGAGGAGCGAAAGCAUGGGGGAGCGAACAGG
Molecule: ribosomal RNA, 254 nt
Filed under: uncultured bacterium
Lineage: Bacteria
Description: partial 16S ribosomal RNA
Rfam family: Bacterial small subunit ribosomal RNA
Source: RNAcentral